GCAGGCGCGCGCUUGGGAACCCCAGAAACCGCGAGCCGUUUCCUUUCUCUUCGGAAAUGGCAGUUUUGUUGUCCUGGAUGAAGGCGAGCGCCGCUGCCUCCCUGAAUGCUGAGCACGCUGGCUUCGCGGUGCCCGGAAGGAAGCCUUUGAAGAGUAGUUUUGCGGGCAGGGAGGGGACAGGGGUGCGUGCGACUCAGAGUGAGAGGGAGGAGUUGCAGGGCAAAGGCGGGAGGAGGGGGAGAUUCUGGAGAGGAACUUGAGGGGAUGGGAUUCACUCUAAGGAGUCCUGGGCGGUCGGAGCUUUCCCCUCGCGUGACCCAGCCUAAGGGGGAAGUGGAGAAAAACAGCUCGACAGAUUUGUUGCUUAAAUUCAAACGUAAAACACCUACGAUCUUCUUAUCCCAGUUGUACUUCAUCUUCUCCACGGGUUCCCUGUAUCUCUGAUUAAGACACGAGAUUAGUGGAGUGGGCGGGUGGGGGCGCGCGCAGGAGUUGGUAGCAACUCUCAGUGAAAUACAGUAGAGCCAUGGAAAGCGGGGGCUGCAUUAAUCCAACCAGCCUUUUCUCUCCUUGUGCCCUGCUGUCCCAGUUCAGAUGAAAUGGCCAGUUUUGAACAGUUUUUGGCUGAGUUCCUUUUAAACCCUUGGAGCCAAUGCUAAUCACUUGUCUUGACUUGAAGUGCUUGUAAAGUCUGCAUUUUCAUCGUGCUCAGAACUCUGAAGUGACAUAGCUACCUGUGGCUAAUGCAUGAGAAUAACAAAGGCUGAGUCCUGGCUUGGGUGGGAACCCUCAGCUGAAGUAGAAGACUGAAGGAUCCAAGGAACCUAAAAUCACAGUGAAUCCCCACCUGCAAAGGUCUUAAUGUUGCAGAUCUUUGGCACCUGAGCCAGAUUUCAUCACAUAAAGGCCACAUUGCAGUUAACUUUUGAAAACUGUGUUAUGAGAGGUAGAACUUUCUCAUGUCAGGCAAAUCCAUCAUUACAGAGGUCUGACUGGUCCUAGAGAUUAACUGAGACAAUCUGUCCUAAAUUUACAGAGACUUCCAUCUGUGGAUUCAGUCAGCCAACCUGCAAAUGUUUCCCCUGCAGCUUAUCAUGGACAAAAAGCAAGCAUUGCACAUUUCGAUUUUGGUUAUUCUAUUUAACUGGGGAAUCUGGUUUAGGAAUAAACCGUUCUGGUGACUACCCCAUUAUCCAAGCAUUUCCCAAUCUAGGCCCAACCUGUCUUUCCAGCCUUGGUUCUGUUGCCCAUGGAGAAGGGUGCUUUCUGGUUCCUGGCAUUUGCAUACGUUGUUCUUUCCUUCUGGAAUUCUCUUCACCAACCCACAGCUAAUACUUCCUUUAAGGCUCAGUGUACUUAUAGCCUGGGAAUCUGGGGUGGAAUAAGAGGUCUGGAUGUUUAUAUCCCCACCACAUUCAUGUGUUGAAACCUAAUCCUCAAGGUGAUGAUAAUAAGAUGUGGGACUUGGGUGGGCAUAGUGGCUCAUGCCUGUAAUCCCAGCACUUUGGGAGGCUGAGAAGGGUAGAUCGUUUGAGGUCAGGAGUUGAAGACCAGCCUGACCAACAUGGUGAAACCCCGCCUCUACUAAAAAUACAAUUAUCUGGGCGUGGUGGGACGUGCCUAUAAUCCCAGCUACUCGGGAGGCUCCCGAGUAGCUGGGAGGCUGAGGCACAGGAAUCGCUUGAACCUGGGAGGUGGAGGUUACAGUGAGCCGAGAUCACGCCACUGCACUCCAGCCUGGGAGACAGAGUGAGACUUGUCUCAAGAGAAAAAAAAAAAGAUGUGAGGCUUUCCGGAGGUGAUUUGGUUGCUAAUGAAUGGGAUUAGUGCCCUUGUAAAGGAGGCCUGAGGGAACUUGUUUCACCCUUCUGUACUGUGAGGGCACAGCAGGAAGACGCCAUCUGUGAGGCAGAGGGCCCUCACCAGACACCAAAUCUGUUGAGGCCUUGCUCUGUCAACUUCCCAGCCUCCAGAACUGGGACAAAUAGAUUUCUAUUGUUUAUAAAUUUGUUGAUAAAGUAUCCCAUUUAAGGUAUUUGUGUUAUAGCAGCAGAAACGGACUAAGACAGUGUGGAGAACAAGAUAUUUAUUUACUUGGACAGUUUUUCCCGGGUACUGACCUGUUGGAGACACCUUCAGAUCUCUGCUAUCUGAUUGCCACACCACAGUGAGUGGGUGUGCCCAUCUUUGAUACUAACAGCUCAGUACUGUGGAUUGCCCAUGUUUUUUCUAGUCUGAGGAGAGGGGAAAGAGCAAGGAACUGUGUGGCCUUCCUGCUCUCUUGGAAACUCUAUUGGGAGGACUAGCCUCCCAGAGAAGUUGUAGCCCCAGUUAUGCCUCAGGUUCAGCCCCCAUCACUGUACCAACAUUUUACUUUGGUGAUGUGAAAAGUUAAAAGAACAGCCCUUGGCCAUUUAGGUCUCUCCUCCUUUCCAGCCUCAUGUCUGGAUCCCUCUCUGUAACCUCACUAGAGCACUCAAAGUUUUCCAAAUAUGCUGGGGCCUUCCACGCCCCUGUGUUCUUGCUCCUGUUCUUCCCUUUGCCCAAGAUGCCCUCUAACCUUUUCUCUUAGGCAGUUUCUACUCCUCUCUCAAGAUUCCCUUCAUAUCCCAUCUCCCCACCCAUCUGGGCAGAUUUUAGUGCUUGGAUCCCUCUGCUCAUACAUUGAUCAACUGGGUCUCUAACCUUGUUCUCUAUAAAAUAUUCUCCACAUAGCAGCCAGUGUGAUUCUUUUAAAACAUGUCAGAUUAUGCCAUUCCCUUGCCACUUAACAAAGUCUGAAACCAUGGCCUGCAAGGCCUACGUGACAUGGUCCAUGGCUGCCCUUACCACCUCAUUUUCUACCCUCUCCUUCACUUCUCAGCUCCAGCCUCCUUGCAGCACUUUAGAAAUGUCAAGUCAGUUUCCAUCCCGGAGCCUCUGUACUUGCUGCUUCCUCACAUCCUUCAACACUGCUCAUCUGAGAAAAGCCCUUCUUGAAUACCCUAGUUUACAGCUCUGUUUCUUUUUGUGGCAUCCAGUGCUAUCCAUCAUUAUGUUCAUUUAUGUGUUUAUUUUUUGUCUGUCCUACAAAAAUACAAGUUCCAUGAGAAUAAAAAAGUGAAUGCAUAUUUUGGCCAAGUGCCUAUCGCAUAUUGCUACUGGAUUCAUGUCAUACGAAUCACUUCCUUUUUUUUUUUUUUUUUGAGACAGAGUCUUGCUCUGUCGCCCGGGAUGGAGUGCAGGGGCACAAUGUCACCUCACUGCAACCUCCGCCUCCCAAGUUCACGCGAUUCUCGUGCCUCAGCCUCCUGAGUAGCUGGGACUACAGGCAUGUGCCACCAUGCCUUGCUAACUUUUGUAUUUUUAGUAGAGAUGGGGUUUCCCAUGUUGGCCAGGCUGUUUUUGAACUCCUGAAGUAAAGUGAUCCACCUGCCUUGGCCUUUCAAAGUGUUGGGAUUACAGGUGUGAGCGACCGCACCCAGCCUACUUUCUUUUAUUUAGAACUCAGUUUCCCAGCCUCCAUUACAACUGGGUUCAAGAAUAUAACCUAGGCUUUGCCAGUCAGGCUCAUCCAUAUCAAACUUAAAUUCAGGUAUAAGCAACCAGAGGAAAGUGGCUCAUUAUGGAGCUCCUUGCCUUGCUGGUAUGAAUUGCCCUAAUAGCCAGGCGGCUGCCUUAGUUGGCAGCACUAGCAGUGACGUUAGUUUCUCAGUGGUUGCAACAUGGAGUUUCUGAUGUAAUAGUGGUAUUGACAGAGAGCUGCAAUGGUGAUAGUUUUCUUGCUGGGCUAGUUCUGCAGUGGUUUUGUGCAUUAUUCCCAGAGGAAUGGCCCCAGUCCUGAAUCUCUACACCUUCCAACACACCUGAGAACUACCCAAUAUCUUCAAUAUAAUCCUUUUCUGCUAUAUCAGCAAGAGUCAGCAGCUUUUCUUUCGUACAGCUAAGGAUCCUGACUUUGUAUGAUUGUGGGUCUUUUUCCCCACAGUGGGCUACAGUCUCCAUUAGAUGAUUCGCCAACUAUUUAUUGAGUGCUUACUAUAUGAUGGACAAUGUCCUAGCCAGAGCUUACAGUAUAGUGGCAGGGCAGGUACAUACACGAUUAUACUAGAGUGUAAUCAAUGCUAUGAAGUGGUCGUGGGAAAGCACACAUUGGAGGCACAGUCUAUGUGUUCAUCUUUGUAUUUGAGGCUCUAAUGCACUUCCAUCAUAUAGAAGCAUUCAGUUUAUAUUUGUGGAAUGAAUUUUGGGUGGAGACAAAUAGAGCAGCAAAAUGCUGGUGUCCUUCUCCAUCAAUAAUAUUCUCUUUGCAUCCAACCUGUAUUUCCUGUAUGUCUGAGUCUUUAACUUAUGGUCACUUGAGGGCGGACCAGGAGUUGGAACUAUCAUUCAUUCACUUAGUCAGUGUGCAAACAUUUAUUGAACACAUGACAUGUACCAGACAUUAUGCUAGGUGCUGGGAAACAAUAGAGAAUAACACAAGUCUAUCUGCCUCACAAAAUGAUAGACACUAGUGAGUCCUUUACAAGUUAGUUGGUUUCUACCCAUAGAGACGGAAAGUAUUAUAGAAUGGUGGCUACCAAAGGCUGGGGAGAGAAGAAUGGGGAGCUUUGUUUAAUGGGUACAGAGUUUUCAUUUAAUUUUGCAAGACAAAAAGAGUUAUGAAGAUGGAUGGGGGCCGAUGGUUACACACAGUUUGAAUGUACAUAAUACUACUGAGCUGUACAUGUAAAAAUGGCUAAGAUGAUACAUUUUAUGUAUAUAUAACCACAAUUGAAAAAAAGUACACCCCCACCCCCAAAAAUAGAACAAUAAAUUUACACAUGUUGUUAAGGGAAAAAAUGUGAGUUGGUUUCUAAAAAUGAAUGGUAAAAGCUGCUUUUGUUAUGAUUGUAAAAAGAUAGAGAGAUUUCAUGUUUUCUCAGUGAGAUUUACUUAUAUCCCACAGUAAAUUUUGAUUCAUUUUUAAAAAGAAGCAGGUGAUAGAGGAUGGCUCAUCUGGCUUAAUGUGCACAGAUAAUUAUCUUCUAGCUAUGUAUGAAUUAGUCUGUUAAUAAUCAAUAUUUGCAUAAGGAAAGAACCAGAAUCUGCCUGGCUUUGAGACUGAAGUAGUUGCAAAUAAGGCAAGGCACUGGAGAGAUUUAACAAAAGAGAGUAAAUUGGCCUGUGUCCAUUUCUCUGUUUCUGCCAAUUUCCUGUCAACUUCCAUUUUAGCAGAUUGACAACAUGUUAUAAACUGUGAUUAAGUCUUCACAAUGAAAGCUCAUUUGCUGGGUAUCUUCCCCAUUCCUGCACCUCUGCUUCCUUUCCCUUGUAUUCUAGAGCCCCAAUUUUUCUUGCACUUUCUUCUUCCCUCACCUUUAGGUUUUUUCCUUCUUGUCUCCUCCUUUACAGUAGAAACUGCAGACAGAGUGUGAAUCUAUAUAAUUAAUCAAAAAAAAUUUAUUGAGUAUUUUGUGUUCAACACUUACAGGAUUCUUAGAUUCAGAUGAGCAAAAGUGAAAAUAAAACAAGUAAAGGCAAAGAUAAAGCAAACAGGCCAGGCAUGGUGGCUGACGCCUAUAAUCCUAGCACUUUGGGAUUCUGAGUCAAGAGGAUUACUUGAGAGGAUUACAAGAGCCCAGGAGUUUAAGAGCAGCCUGGGCAACAUAGCAAGAUCUCAUCUCUACAAAAAAUAAAAAAUUAGCCGGGCAUGGUGGUGUGUGCCUGUGGUCCCAACUACUCAGGAGGCUGAGGUGGGAGGAUCACUUGAGCCUGGGAGGUCAAGCCUGCAGUGAGCAGUAUUGCGCCACUGUACUCCAGCCUGAGUGAUGAUGAUAUUCUGUCUCCAAAAGCAAGCAAACAAACAAAACAAAAAAAUAAGCAGAGAACAAUGAACUCUGAUGCAAUUGGAUUUUCCUCUUGAAACGAGAUCAGAAAGAGAGAGUUCUGUGUGGACUGAAGUUUGUAAGGGUGACUUCUCAGAAAGGGAGUGGGGGAGCUUUGUCUGAAUCUGAAGGAUUUGGCCAGAUGAGAGGUGGUGAUGUGAGUUUUCAGUGUCAGUUCUAGGCAGGAUUAUGUUGUGCUCUGAGGACAGUAGGAAGAGGAGAGAUGUGAGUUCAGAGGUUUUGUAGGGAGCAUGUAGGGAAGCCUCAUGGGCCUUUCCAGUGUUAAUUAAAUCCCGUUAUUUAUCAGCUCCUACUUUGACUUUUUUUGUGUCUUCUCUGUAGGAGGCUAUAGGAACUCAGCCUAUUUUAUUUCUCUGUUUAAAGCCACUGCUCUCCACCCCGAUCCUUUGGUGUUCUUAUUUCUUCAAGUCUACAUAUGGAGUGAGUUGCAAGUCUCCAGGCCAUUCCUCUUUGCUGCCUCUGAACCUAACCACUUUCCAUAGGGAAAGUUUCAUUGCUAAUAAUGACAGAGAAAUUGACAAAAGAUAAAACUGCUGUUGUGGAGAAGGUUAAAAAAAAGAUGAAAGUUGUUAGUCUUAACCCCUGCUCAAUAUUUUCUGUUGCUCAUCUAAAAAAUUGGAGAAGUAGGGCUUACCAGUCCAUUCAUUCAACAAAAAUUGAGCAGUUGAACACACAAAUACACACACAUAUACACACACAAGAAACAACUAGAAAUAAGUGCUGAGAAAACACACUGAUGUGAUGAACAACUGGGUGGUGACUUCAGAAUAAGCAGUCAGGGAAGUCCUCUGUAGUAGGUAACAGUUAAACUGAGUCCUUAGAAGGAGCCAUGUGAAAACAAGGGGGAAGUACAUUUCAACCAGCAUAGUGUGUUGGGGGAAUAAAAAGAAAGCCAAUGUGCCUGAAGCUCAGUGAAUAAGAACAGAGAGGUACAAGGGAAGAUCUGGGCCUUUUCAGAUGAGGAAUUUAGAUUUUAUUUUAAAUAUGAUGUAUGGAAAGAACAAGAACAACAAAACAAAAUGUGAUGAGAAGCCAUUUGAGAGUUGGCAAGUCAUCUUGUGCUUUAUAUAUUUUUAAAAACAUCACACCAGCUUCUGUGGAGGAACAAGAGUAGAAACAGACCAGUUAUGAGGCUAUUGUUGGGGGCUUGAACUAGGGUAGAAGUGGUGACAAUGGAAGAAGUGAAUGGAUUUAGGAUGUGGAUUGAGAGUAGAGUCAAUUGGAUAUGAUGGCUGAGGGAAAGAGAAAUUAAGCCUCUUAGGUUUGUGGCUUGAGCAACUGGGUGAGUGGUAGCUUCACAUCCCAUAUCCUGGAAUACUAACCCACACUUUUUGAAUUCUGUCCUACUGUCCUUCUGUCAUUUCUGAAUCUCUUAUAGCAACCUUCAUCAGGAACGCAUACAGAGUUAGCCAAAUUGAAUACAAUAUUUCAGUGAUCAUCUGUUGGUAUCUACAUGGGUCAAGAGGGAAGUAAGCGCUAUUGGAUGAUCCCUAAGUUUGCUCUCACCCAGGAAUACUGCAUUUUGAGUAUUACUUGUGUUAGCAGUGGUGAAUCCGUAUGGGUCUGCGGCAGCCUCAACUCUUGCCUCCUCAGAAGAAAGAAUUUGACCGAGGGGCAUAAGACAGAGUGAGAGAAUGAGGCAAAUUUUGGAGCAGGAGUGAAAGUUUAUUCAAAAGCUUUAGAGCAGGAAUGAGAGAAAAUAAAGUACACUUGGAAGACGGCCAAGUGGGCAACUUGAGAGAUCAAGUGUACUGUUUGACCAUUGAUUUGGAGUUUUAUAUGUUGGCAUUCUUUUGGGGUCUGCAUUACUUCUCCCUUUUUUCUUCCCUUGUGGGGGUUGUCUGCCUGUGCGGUGGCCUACUGGCUUUUGAGGGGGGCCGCAUGUGCACUGUGUUUACUGGAGUUGUAUGCACGCUCACUUGUGGCAUUUUUCCCUUACCAGUCUAGUGGUCAUAUACCAGGUAUACUUUGCCUUUUGCCUCCUUUUUUUUUUUUUUUUUUUUUUAAUGCGGAGUCUCGCUCUGUCACCCAGGCUGGAGUGCAGUGGCGCAAUCUUUGCUCACUGCAACCUCCGCCUCCCAGGUUCAAGCAAUUCUCCUGCCUCAGCCUCCUGAGUAGCUGGGACUGCAGGCCCGCCACCAUGCCCAGCUAAUUUUUAUAUUUUUAGUAGAGACUGGUUUUCACCAUGUUGACCAGGAUGGUCUUGAUCUCUUGACCUCAUGAUCUGCCCACCUCGGCCUCCCAAAGUGCUGGGAUUACAGGUGUGAGCCACCACGCCUGGCCUGAAACCUCUUAUUUCUAUGAGAGACAAAAGGAUGUACUGUGUGAUGUCUCAUUACACCCAUCGUUGUACCGAUGAGAAACCUCAGCAAAAUCCCAGAGCCCUGACUCCAGUGUCUCCAGCUGAGAGGCUGAGCUUGCCAGCUCCAUUUCUGACUGCUCAUGGAGCAGAAUCAGUGACCAAGGAGAAAAGGGCUGAGUGAAGAAACAAGUGUGAGUGCCAAGAUGAUGCCAAGGGCUGUGAUUUCCUGGUGGGAAGAAAGAAGGAAUAGAAGCCAAAGGAAGGGGGAUGAAAAGCAAAACCAAGAAUCACAAGGAAUCAAGUUCGGAGAGAAUUUUGGCAGAGAUUUUGAGAGGGGGGCUUUAAGUCAGCCAUGGACAUACUGAAGCAAGAGGAAUGAAGGGAAAAAAGAAAAGGGGGGAAAAAAAGAAGAAGAAUGGGGCCAAGGAGGAUUUAAGACUACCAUUAUAGGUUACAAGUUGAAUUCUUUUUAAUAUUCUUCAAGCAAUGACAGUAAAGAUUCAAAUAACUUUUAAAUUACCUUUGAUUUCUAAACCAAGUUUCUUGGAAUGUGAAAGUCGCCAAGACUGGGCCCUGCAGGGCCUGGGUUGGGCUACUACUGCCUAUGGAGAUUCUGAGGGUAUUAACCUUAAUAAUGGCAUGAAAUCAAUAAAAAUCAUCCAAAAGCU
This 8837-nucleotide long non-coding RNA is filed under the name Homo sapiens (human). RNAcentral describes it as "non-protein coding lnc-BIRC2-9:3". The record is from RNAcentral. Lineage: Eukaryota; Metazoa; Chordata; Mammalia; Primates; Hominidae.